Diuraphis noxia (Russian wheat aphid) is the source of this 438-nucleotide long non-coding RNA. NCBI's taxonomy places the organism in Eukaryota, Metazoa, Arthropoda, Insecta, Hemiptera, Aphididae. The record is from RefSeq and is a predicted model, not a curated record.
ACUAUCUGUCCCGUCGUCCCGCGCGCGUACAACCACCGCUGAAGCACACAGUCACCGUAAAUAGCACCAACCAACAGAACAUUAUUUUUUUGUUUGUCGGUCUGAACGCGUCACAUUAAAUUACUUUGUUUUCCAAUUCCGAGUCACGCGUACGUACCGAUCWUCUUCCGAGUGCAAUAAUAUAAAUACAGAUCGKCGUCUGCAAUAUUUUAAAAUCAUCAUCAUCAUCAUCAUCGCCACCGCCGGUAGUUAAAUAUUACGGCGAGUUCGGUCACCGCGACGAGUAAAUACAUUCCGAUUCCAUACCCCGGAAACAAUUUAUGCACAGAAGAUUGUGCAUACGCGCAGCCCAAGACAGUAGAAAUGACAGACAGCAUGACGCGGAACUUCAAUAAUUACCCUUCCACGGCAAAACCAGAACAACAAGUCUCCAAAAAA